Molecule: transfer RNA, 179 nt
Filed under: Promethearchaeota archaeon
Lineage: Archaea; Promethearchaeati; Promethearchaeota
Description: Candidatus Lokiarchaeota archaeon (microbial mat metagenome) tRNA-OTHER
Source: RNAcentral
GCCGCCGUGGCUCAGUUCGGUAGAGCGACAGUACGAGGCGCGAGCCUGUUACCUUUCGGUCAGGUGGCCGAGAGCCAGACAGUUGUAGUGCAUCACGGUUCGUGGCGCACGGCUAAUGGUCCCAGGUUCAAAGCGGGAUAUGAUUUCCAUGCCCCGGGCAAACCCUGGCGGCGGCGCCA